RNAcentral lists this ribosomal RNA (1524 nucleotides) under Triticum aestivum (bread wheat). RNAcentral describes it as "partial small subunit ribosomal RNA". The record is from RNAcentral. Lineage: Eukaryota; Viridiplantae; Streptophyta; Magnoliopsida; Poales; Poaceae.
AUGGUUACUGAAGAAACCAAAUCAAAGAAGCAAAUAAAUGAGGAAUGCAUCAUAAACCGCCUCCCGGUAGACAUCAUUGAGCGGAUAUUUUUGGGGCUUCCAGUGAGCACUCUGUUGACGUGCGUCGGAGUCUGCAAGCACUGGCACAACAUCAUCCGGGAUCCACAGUUUGUUGCAUUGCACCUCCAGUGUGCGCCAAAUUAUGCCCUUCUGUUCUUCCCGCGAGGUUUGGUUUCAGGCGAGCCCUACCCUAGUGAUGCUGUCCUAAUUGAUGAAGCCUGGGCGCCAUCGAGAUAUGCAGUGCCAGUGAUUGGGCCUGAUGAUUUCCUUUUCGGUUCAUGCAAUGGCCUUCUUGGCUUAUACACAAAGACAUCAAUGAUUAAGAUAGCUAACCUUGCAACUGGUGAAUGUCUACAUCUUCAGAAACCUGCGAAGAAUGUGAAAGACAGGUUCAACAUCAUCCAAGUUUACACACUCGGCGAUGAGAAAUGGAAAGAUAUCCAAACUCCAAAAGCUCUUAGCUUGAUCAGUGUGAGAAACUCUGGAGUUGUCAAUGUUGAUGGCAAAAUGUAUUGGUUAACUGAAGACAUGUCAGCUAACUGGCAGCAUUCAGUUUUGUCCUUUGAUCUAUUGGAAGAAAGUUUUGCAAUGAUACAACUGCCAGCAGCACGCGAAGAUCAUGAUUACUAUGGUUCUCGUAAGUUCUUGAUCAGAGAUAUAGAUGGGAAAAUAUGUAUAGUGACUGCUCAAACUAGUCGUUAUGAUGCCAGAACUCUUGUCGGUGAGCUGCAGAUCUGGGCACUUGACAACAUGGUAGAGCAAAGGGAUAGAAUCCUCACACAACGUGGCCACAAUAAUGUAUGUUCGUACGGGUUGCUUGGUGAGAACUUCGAGAUUGAUUCAAGUAAGAUGGUGAAGCUGUUAGAUUUCAGUCCCUGCAGGCACAACUUGCAAUCUCACAACUGUGUGAAGUCACUUACCAACACAGGAGAGCACAAAAAGGACGACGACGACUACAUCGCUAGUCUCAUGACCAUGGGGUUCCAGCCAUGUCGACGCCCAUACACUUCCUGCACCACCAUCACCAGCUUGCUGGAUCUAUGUCACAACAGUCCUCAAAGAGCUCCUUUCUGCAAGGACCUUCUUUUAGUCGUUUGCUCAAAACCAUCUAUGCUAACAAUGUUGGCCCUCGAGCUCUGGCUUCAUCCAUCUUCUCACCUAAAAGGAAAUCAGUUUCUCAAUCUGGAUCCUCUCCGAUCGCUCCAUGGCGGCGGCCAUGACGAAUCCUUCGACGGCGGCCGCGCUCAGCUAGCCGACCUCCGCGUUCUCCUGCCUCAAACGGCUCCACGGCCCGACGGCUCCAUGGCUCCUUUCGACGGCUGCGGCGAGAUGGACAUCCACCACGUUUGUCCUACCUCCGCGCCUGCCUACCUUCUUGCCGGUUCCCGACGCCGAGUCCGCCGCCGGCCACAACCUGCACACCAUCUACUGCUCCCUCGCAUCCACGGUUGCUCCUUGGCCUGA